RNAcentral lists this ribosomal RNA (118 nucleotides) under Dorea longicatena. Lineage: Bacteria; Bacillati; Bacillota; Clostridia; Lachnospirales; Lachnospiraceae. The record is from RNAcentral.
UCUGGUGCCGAUGCGCUUAGGGGACACACCCGUUCCCAUCCCGAACACGAUGGUUAAGACCUAAGCGGCCGAUGGUACUAUGCUGGAGACGGCAUGGGAGAGCAGGUGGGUGCCAGGU